GACGAACGCUGGCGGCACGCCUAACACAUGCAAGUCGAGCGAGUUGAUUCCUUCGGGAUGAAGCUAGCGGCGGACGGGUGAGUAACACGUGGGCAACCUGCCUCAUAGAGGGGAAUAGCCUUCCGAAAGGAAGAUUAAUACCGCAUAAGAUUGCAUCUUCGCAUGAAGAAGCAAUUAAAGGAGCAAUCCGCUAUGAGAUGGGCCCGCGGCGCAUUAGCUAGUUGGUGAGGUAACGGCUCACCAAGGCGACGAUGCGUAGCCGACCUGAGAGGGUGAUCGGCCACAUUGGGACUGGGACACGGCCCAGACUACUAGGGGAGGCAGCAGUGGGGAAUAAUGCACAAUGGGGGCAACCCUGAUGCAGCAAUGCCGCGUGAGUGAUGACGGCCUUCGGGUUGUAAAGCUCUGUCGUCGGGGACGAUAAUGACGGUACCCGAGGAGGAAGCCACGGCUAACUACGUGCCAGCAGCCGCAGUAA
Molecule: ribosomal RNA, 478 nt
Filed under: uncultured bacterium
Lineage: Bacteria
Description: partial 16S ribosomal RNA
Rfam family: Bacterial small subunit ribosomal RNA
Source: RNAcentral